CUCAUGCGCCCAUUUGAAUUCACGAGAAACAACUUCUCAUGAAUUUUCUCCCAUGCAGAAGCCAUCCCACGCCCUCUCUUUGUGUGCCAUUUUGAAUGGAUAAGGAUGAGAUUGGUUGGCCAUUCAAAUUCAAAAGAUGUUUGAAUUCGAAUGGAUAACAAAUCUCUGCGCCCACCUUUUAUCUUGUGCGCCACUUCUUCCACACGAGAAAUGGUUUCUCAUGAAAAUUAUC
RNAcentral lists this long non-coding RNA (232 nucleotides) under Elaeis guineensis (African oil palm). RNAcentral describes it as "long non-coding RNA (EGUI_LNC067121)". The record is from RNAcentral. Lineage: Eukaryota; Viridiplantae; Streptophyta; Magnoliopsida; Arecales; Arecaceae.